AAUCACGGAUAUUACUAUAAAACUCGUGUGUUCGUGUUAGACACGUGCGUGUCUGUGUUCGACUCUUGUCCGAUAUAGAUACUUUUUGGACCUACAUUCAAUGUCUAUUCAUAGCGCAUACAUUUUAAAAAAAUAUAUACGUAUUUUUAAUUUGCUUUCCUUAUGCAUAUCUAUACUACUUAUAAAAGAGGGAGGUUUAAAAUUUUUUUCUUUCCUAAAAUACCGAUCCCUAUUAAUAUACUUUUAAUCAUAUACUAACAAUAUCAUUCAUUCAACUUUAAUGAAAUAAAUCACAGUCGUACAAUUUUUAUUUUAUUUUAAUAUUAUUAUAAAAUAUAUUAAUUCUUAGUCAUUGGAUCUAAUCAAAUGGCUGACGAAUUAAGUAUUUGUCACUUUUUUUUUCUAAAUUGCCCUCAAAUAGUACGUAUCAAAUUUCAUUUUUUAAAUGCAUACCCUAUCUCCUAACAACCGCUGUCCAUAUAAUAUCGUAUUUUAUCAUAUAAUAUUCGCAAUUCUCACACAUAAUAUCCGCCACUUACAUAAUAUCAAAUCACGUAAUACCUUCCGCAUAUAUAAUAUUUAAUCAAUAAUAUCCAAUCACGUAAUACCUUCCUCAUAUAUAAUAUUUAAUCAUAUUUUUUUAAAGGUAAAUAUAUAAAAAUUAUCGCAUUUUAUCUACUAAUAUUUAAAAUAUGAGAUAUUUUUCAAUAAAAUAUAACAUAUGAAUUUACAAUUUAAAAAUUUAAAUUUGUAGACAAAUGUAAUUCACAAAUUUAUAUUGAUUUGAGAUAAUUAUUAAAAUAGUUGUUGGUAGAUUUUCUUUUAGUAGAAAAAAUAUUGCAUUCCAUUUUCGAUAACAGAAAAAAAUUUAUACUUAUCCAAAUUUCUGUCAACCAAAGGAUAUUUGCUGUAAAAUAUUUUUCACAAGGGCCCCAUAAAAAAAUAUUCCAUACUAAUCAAAAAACGAAAAUCUCU
This 975-nucleotide long non-coding RNA is filed under the name Ananas comosus (pineapple). RNAcentral's name for it is "long non-coding RNA (ACOM_LNC043975)". Lineage: Eukaryota; Viridiplantae; Streptophyta; Magnoliopsida; Poales; Bromeliaceae. The record is from RNAcentral.